RNAcentral lists this ribosomal RNA (580 nucleotides) under Meyerozyma guilliermondii. Its description in RNAcentral is "partial large subunit ribosomal RNA". It matches the Rfam family "Eukaryotic large subunit ribosomal RNA", at positions 72 to 668 of the family's 3401-position model. The record is from RNAcentral. Lineage: Eukaryota; Fungi; Ascomycota; Pichiomycetes; Serinales; Debaryomycetaceae.
GUAUUGUCUUAGUAGCGGCGAGUGAAGCGGCAAAAGCUCAAAUUUGAAAUCUGGCGCCUUCGGUGUCCGAGUUGUAAUUUGAAGAUUGUAACCUUGGGGUUGGCUCUUGUCUAUGUUUCUUGGAACAGGACGUCACAGAGGGUGAGAAUCCCGUGCGAUGAGAUGCCCAAUUCUAUGUAAGGUGCUUUCGAAGAGUCGAGUUGUUUGGGAAUGCAGCUCUAAGUGGGUGGUAAAUUCCAUCUAAAGCUAAAUAUUGGCGAGAGACCGAUAGCGAACAAGUACAGUGAUGGAAAGAUGAAAAGAACUUUGAAAAGAGAGUGAAAAAGUACGUGAAAUUGUUGAAAGGGAAGGGUUUGAGAUCAGACUCGAUAUUUUGUGAGCCUUGCCUUCGUGGCGGGGUGACCCGCAGCUUAUCGGGCCAGCAUCGGUUUGGGCGGUAGGAUAAUGGCGUAGGAAUGUGACUUUACUUCGGUGAAGUGUUAUAGCCUGCGUUGAUGCUGCCUGCCUAGACCGAGGACUGCGAUUUUAUCAAGGAUGCUGGCAUAAUGAUCCCAAACCGCCCGUCUUGAACCACGGACUU